GACGAACGCUGGCGGCGUGCUUAACACAUGCAAGUCGAACGGAAAGGCCCCUUUGGGGGUACUCGAGUGGCGAACGGGUGAGUAACACGUGAGUAACCUGCCCUUGACUUCGGGAUAACUUCAGGAAACUGGGGCUAAUACCGGAUAGGAAUCCUUGCUGCAUGGUGGGGGUUGGAAAGCUUCGGCGGUUUUGGAUGGACUCGCGGCUUAUCAGCUUGUUGGUGGGGUAGUGGCUUACCAAGGCUUUGACGGGUAGCCGGCCUGAGAGGGCGACCGGCCACAUUGGGACUGAGAUACGGCCCAGACUCCUACGGGAGGCAGCAGUGGGGAAUAUUGCACAAUGGGCGGAAGCCUGAUGCAGCAACGCCGCGUGCGGGAUGACGGCCUUCGGGUUGGAGACCGCUUUCAGCAGGGGCGAAGCUUGUGGUGACGGUACCUGCAGAAGAAGCACCGGCUAACUACGUG
This 465-nucleotide ribosomal RNA is filed under the name uncultured bacterium. Its description in RNAcentral is "partial 16S ribosomal RNA". It matches the Rfam family "Bacterial small subunit ribosomal RNA", at positions 28 to 507 of the family's 1533-position model. The record is from RNAcentral.